UACGGGGGGGGCAAGCGUUGUUCGGAAUCAUUGGGCGUAAAGGGCGCGUAGGUGGUUCUGUAUGUCUAUCGUGAAAGCGUACGGCUCAACCGUAUUUUGUCGGUAGAAACUGCAGGACUUGAGGCUGGGAGGGGCUGGUGGAAUUCCCUGUGUAGCGGUGAAAUGCGUAGAGAUGGGGGAGAACACUCGUGGCGAAGGCGGCCAGCUAGACCAGUUCUGACACUGAGGCGCGACAGCGUGGGGAGCAAACAGG
This 253-nucleotide ribosomal RNA is filed under the name uncultured bacterium. Its description in RNAcentral is "partial 16S ribosomal RNA". It matches the Rfam family "Bacterial small subunit ribosomal RNA", at positions 524 to 776 of the family's 1533-position model. The record is from RNAcentral.